GGAAUAUUGGUCAAUGGAGGAAACUCUGAACCAGCAACACCGCGUGAAUGAUGAAGGUCUUCGGAUUGUAAAGUUCUGUGAUGGGGGACGAAUAAAGUGACGGUACCCCAAGAGCAAGCCACGGCUAACUACGUGCCAGCAGCCGCGGUAAUACGUAGGUGGCAAGCGUUGUCCGGAAUGACUGGGCGUAAAGGGUACGUAGGUGGCCAUUCAAGUUAGUAGUGAAAUCCCAGGGCUCAACUCUGGUGCUACUACUAAGACUGUGUGGCGUGAGUGCAGGAGGGGUAAGUGGAAUUCCUAGUGUAGCGGUGGAAUGCGUAGAUAUUAGGAAGAACACCAGUGGCGAAGGCGACUUACUGGACUGUAACUGACACUGAAGUACGAAAGCGUGGGGAGCAAACA
RNAcentral lists this ribosomal RNA (402 nucleotides) under uncultured bacterium. RNAcentral describes it as "bacterial SSU rRNA". It matches the Rfam family "Bacterial small subunit ribosomal RNA", at positions 358 to 774 of the family's 1533-position model. The record is from RNAcentral.